This 210-nucleotide long non-coding RNA is filed under the name Lathyrus oleraceus (garden pea). RNAcentral's name for it is "Pisum sativum (pea) long non-coding RNA (PSAT_LNC018796)". Lineage: Eukaryota; Viridiplantae; Streptophyta; Magnoliopsida; Fabales; Fabaceae. The record is from RNAcentral.
AACUCCAUAGCAUUCAUUCUAUCCACCAGCAUCUUGUACUUAUCUUCAUUAGGAUCAUGAUAAUAAUUUUCUUCAGAAUCAGAAUCUCCCACAGUAUCAUGGGGACUACCUCCCUCUUUCUCAGAAUUUUCAGACUCAUAAUCAUCAACUUGUUCCUUUGUCUUGAUAGGGCCUCUGAAUCUUCUUCCCAGAUUGGUAAGGCCUCCUGAU